Molecule: ribosomal RNA, 229 nt
Filed under: uncultured bacterium
Lineage: Bacteria
Description: partial 16S ribosomal RNA
Rfam family: Bacterial small subunit ribosomal RNA
Source: RNAcentral
GAUCAUGGCUCAGGAUGAACGCUGGCGGCGUGUCUAACACAUGCAAGUCGAACGGAGUUAUUUUGGAAAUCUCUUCGGAGAUGGAAUCUUUAACUUAGUGGCGGACGGGUGAGUAACGCGUGAGCAAUCUGCCUUUAAGAGGGGGAUAACAGUCGGAAACGGCUGCUAAUACCGCAUAAAGCAUCAAAUUCGCAUGUUUUUUGAUGCCAAAGGAGCAAUCCGCUUUUAG